GAUGAACGCUGGCGGCGUGCCUAAUACAUGCAAGUCGAGCGAACAGACGAGGAGCUUGCUCCUCUGACGUUAGCGGCGGACGGGUGAGUAACACGUGGAUAACCUACCUAUAAGACUGGGAUAACUUCGGGAAACCGGAGCUAAUACCGGAUAAGAUAUUGAACCGCAUGGUUCAAUAGUGAAAGACGGUUUUGCUGUCACUUAUAGAUGGAUCCGCGCCGCAUUAGCUAGUUGGUAAGGUAACGGCUUACCAAGGCAACGAUGCGUAGCCGACCUGAGAGGGUGAUCGGGCACACUGGAACUGAGACACGGUCCAGACUCCUACGGUAGGCAGCAGUAGGGAAUCUUCCGCAAUGGGCGAAAGCUUGACGGAGCAACGCCGCGUGAGUGCUGAAGGUCUUCGGAUCGUAAAACUCUGUUAUUAGGGAAGAACAAAUGUGUAAGUAACUAUGCACGUCUUGACGGUACCUAAUCAGAAAGCCACGGCUAACUACGUG
RNAcentral lists this ribosomal RNA (497 nucleotides) under uncultured bacterium. Its description in RNAcentral is "partial 16S ribosomal RNA". It matches the Rfam family "Bacterial small subunit ribosomal RNA", at positions 28 to 507 of the family's 1533-position model. The record is from RNAcentral.